Molecule: long non-coding RNA, 784 nt
Filed under: Triticum aestivum (bread wheat)
Lineage: Eukaryota; Viridiplantae; Streptophyta; Magnoliopsida; Poales; Poaceae
Description: long non-coding RNA (TAES_LNC006820)
Source: RNAcentral
AAAAAUGUCUGAUUUCUCCAGCCAAAUUUGUAAUAUGAUAUAGUAUCAUAAGGUAAGGGUAACGCAGAUCCACCUAUGUCAACAUCAAGUGGAAAACAAAAAUUAGAAAUGAUAUAGUAUCAUAAGGUAAGGGUAACCCAGAUCCACGUAUGUCAACAUCAAGUGGAAAACAAAAAUUAGAAAGGCAUACUUGCAGAAGUUGCAUUUUGAACCAAAUGGUAUUUAUCUAUGUAUAAAACAGGGUGUGAAAUCCAACUAGAACUUGAGGUGAACAAAAGACAAGUUUUGAUGUAGAUGCCAACCACGCUCUACCUAAUCCAUUAGAAAGCUACAGAUAACAUGAACGAUACAUAUCAAAGGAUUGUCCCCCCUGCGUAACUGUGUCCUUCAUGGCAAACAGUGAAUAACUUCGCUGGCACUCAUGAAGAUGUUUGCGGGCAAAAAUACCAGGGAUCUUCUCAUGCAGGAUUGCUACCCUUUCACUCUUUUACCAAAAGGUCUGAUUGCUCCGGGAGUUCACUGUCUUCGCCAUUUCUGCCAAGUUCCUUCUGGCAGGGGACAUUCAUAGUUUGCUGCGAAGAGAUAAUUCCCGCAAUGGCUUUCAUGGCAGCAGCAGCCCGGUCACUGCUGACCACUUCCUCACCAGAUCCCUCCACAGGUUCAGUAAUCUUAGAAGGACCAUCUUCAUUCUGCUGCGGCGGAGGCACAAAAAAGGGUAUCUUGCCCCUCUGCCAGUCAUGAAGUACCAUCUUGGCUGCUGUUGUCAGAUCAGGUUCCCCACCCU